Molecule: ribosomal RNA, 302 nt
Filed under: uncultured bacterium
Lineage: Bacteria
Description: partial 16S ribosomal RNA
Rfam family: Bacterial small subunit ribosomal RNA
Source: RNAcentral
GCAGCCGCCGCGGUAAAACGUAUGUCACAAGCGUUAUCCGGAUUUAUUGGGCGUAAAGCGCGUCUAGGUGGUUAUGUAAGUCUGAUGUGAAAAUGCAGGGCUCAACUCUGUAUUGCGUUGGAAACUGUGUAACUAGAGUACUGGAGAGGUAAGCGGAACUACAAGUGUAGAGGUGAAAUUCGUAGAUAUUUGUAGGAAUGCCGAUGGGGAAGCCAGCUUACUGGACAGAUACUGACGCUGAAGCGCGAAAGCGUGGGUAGCAAACAGGAUUAGAUACCCCUGUAGUCCCUGUCUCUUAUACA